This 465-nucleotide ribosomal RNA is filed under the name Vreelandella stevensii. RNAcentral's name for it is "partial 16S ribosomal RNA". It matches the Rfam family "Bacterial small subunit ribosomal RNA", at positions 338 to 795 of the family's 1533-position model. The record is from RNAcentral. Lineage: Bacteria; Pseudomonadati; Pseudomonadota; Gammaproteobacteria; Oceanospirillales; Halomonadaceae.
CCUACGGGGGGCAGCAGUGGGGAAUAUUGGACAAUGGGGGGAACCCUGAUCCAGCCAUGCCGCGUGUGUGAAGAAGGCCCUCGGGUUGUAAAGCACUUUCAGUGAGGAAGAACGCCUGGUGGUUAAUACCCAUCAGGAAAGACAUCACUCACAGAAGAAGCACCGGCUAACUCCGUGCCAGCAGCCGCGGUAAUACGGAGGGUGCGAGCGUUAACCGGAAUUACUGGGCGUAAAGCGCGCGUAGGUGGCUUGAUAAGCCGGUUGUGAAAGCCCCGGGCUCAACCUGGGAACGGCAUCCGGAACUGUCAAGCUAGAGUGCAGGAGAGGAAGGUAGAAUUCCCGGUGUAGCGGUGAAAUGCGUAGAGAUCGGGAGGAAUACCAGUGGCGAAGGCGGCCUUCUGGACUGACACUGACACUGAGGUGCGAAAGCGUGGGUAGCAAACAGGAUUAGAUACCCUUGUAGUC